GAUGAAUGCCAGGCUGGGAAAACCUGCAGGAGCCUGGCAGUGCCCAGGAGUGCCUGGGUGUUAUGAGAUUGGACAGAGAUCUUGUACCCCAGAUUUGCAGAUUAGCAGAAGUCUCAUGAUCUGCCUCUUUCCUGGUAUGCUGGAGACACUGCUAAAAAUAGAAGUCCAUCCAAACCAGAGGUUAGAUGUGUGUGCACACGGAGUGCUGGGUGUGCACCGAGGCAAAGGAACGUGCAAAAAGGGUGAUGAUAUGUACAAAGUAACUGGAAGGAAGAAAGGCUGGAGGGUUUUAUUCAUGAGAAGGGUCAGUAGUGGUGCUUUAUCAAGUUUCCUUAGCAUAUCUCAAUGUAAGUCAACAUAUUGUGCCUUAUAAUUCUUCCAGGCUCUAAUCUGUAAUUCUCACUUCAAUAAUUUGUCUGUUUUCCCUGCCUGGGUGCUGAUUUCUCCUGAGGCACGUAAUGACCCCUUCCUCUUCACUGUGUUGGGGCUUUU
This is a long non-coding RNA of Corapipo altera (White-ruffed manakin), 492 nucleotides long. RefSeq lists it as uncharacterized. Lineage: Eukaryota; Metazoa; Chordata; Aves; Passeriformes; Pipridae. The record is from RefSeq and is a predicted model, not a curated record. The transcript is spliced from 4 exons.